UUGGUUUGACCCGAAGCUGGUGCGCCAACCGCAAGGAGGCAGCCAACCACGGUCAGGUCAGCGACUGGGGUGAAGUCGUAACAAGGUAGCUGUAGGUGAACCUGCAGAAGGAUCA
RNAcentral lists this ribosomal RNA (115 nucleotides) under uncultured eukaryote. RNAcentral's name for it is "partial small subunit ribosomal RNA". It matches the Rfam family "Bacterial small subunit ribosomal RNA", at positions 1411 to 1525 of the family's 1533-position model. The record is from RNAcentral.